RNAcentral lists this ribosomal RNA (436 nucleotides) under uncultured fungus. Its description in RNAcentral is "eukaryotic LSU rRNA". It matches the Rfam family "Eukaryotic large subunit ribosomal RNA", at positions 1 to 432 of the family's 3401-position model. Lineage: Eukaryota; Fungi. The record is from RNAcentral.
GACCUGAGAUGAAGCGAGGCAACCCCGGAAAUUUAAGCAUAUUAUUACGGGGAGGAAAAGAAACUAACAAGGAUUCCCCUAGUAACGGCGAGUGAAGCGGGAAGAGCUCAAUCUUAAAAUCGGUGUUCCAGGCGGGAUUCCGAGUUGUAGUCUCGAGACGUUCUGUCUGCGGUGACGUUGGUACAAGUCUCUUGGAAGAGGGCAUCAGAGAGGGUGACAAUCCCGUCGCUGACCAACAGUUCGCCGCUUUCGACGAGCGUUCGCAGAGUCGGAUUGCUUGGGAGUGCAGUCCUAAUUGGGUGGUAAAUUUCAUCUAAAGCUAAAUAUCGACGAGAGACCGAUAGCGAACAAGUACCGUGAGGGAAAGAUGAAAAGAACUUUGAAAAGAGAGUCAAAAAGUACUUGAACUUGUUAAGAGGGAAGAGUUGAAAACUAG